RNAcentral lists this long non-coding RNA (622 nucleotides) under Homo sapiens (human). Its description in RNAcentral is "HSALNT0407780". Lineage: Eukaryota; Metazoa; Chordata; Mammalia; Primates; Hominidae. The record is from RNAcentral.
GUGGAGAGAGGUGAAGUGACUUGCUCAACAUCACACAGUUGCCUUCCCACGUGUGUGAGACCAUUGCUGUGGAAAGAAGCCGGGCCUGACUUCAGGGAUCUGGUGUGAAAUGACUGGACCCAUGCGUUCUGAGUAAACAAGAGAGCCCCUUCUGGCUUCUCCGGGAGGAACCAAAUGGCUUCAGCAUUCAGCUCCAAAGCCCGAUGGAGACCAAGAGUGAUACACUGUACUCAUGAUCAACUGCUCAGUUCUGGUUUGGGCCUCUGAGGGCUGAUGGGGUUUGGCAGUUCUGCCUCCACACAGCUGCCAAGGCCACCAUAAUUCUGGGACCUAGGAGUAAUUUCAAAGGUUUGGCUGUUACAUAUACAGCUGUUAUAAACAUCUGUGUGGGUGUCUUUCCAAAUGGAAUUGCUGGUUCAUGGAACCUCCAGCACAAUGUUGAAUGGAAAUGGUGAUAGUGGGCAUCUUGUCUUGUACCCAGUCUCACUAUGUGGAAGCUUCACUAUUUCACAAUGAAGGCCCAGCACGGUGACUCAAACCUGUAAUCCCAGCACUUUGGAGGGCUGAGGCAAGUGGAUCACCUGAGAUCAGGAGUUCAAGACCAGUCAAGACCAGCCUGGCC